RNAcentral lists this transfer RNA (73 nucleotides) under Felis catus (domestic cat). It matches the Rfam family "tRNA". From Rfam's summary of the family: Transfer RNA (tRNA) molecules are approximately 80 nucleotides in length. Their secondary structure includes four short double-helical elements and three loops (D, anti-codon, and T loops). Lineage: Eukaryota; Metazoa; Chordata; Mammalia; Carnivora; Felidae. The record is from Rfam by way of RNAcentral. RNAcentral also lists the same sequence under 6 other names.
ACCUGGCUGGCUCAGUCGGUAGAGCAUGCAACUCCUAAUCUUAAGGUCGUGAGUUCAAACCCCACACUGGGUG